RNAcentral lists this ribosomal RNA (253 nucleotides) under uncultured bacterium. RNAcentral describes it as "partial 16S ribosomal RNA". It matches the Rfam family "Bacterial small subunit ribosomal RNA", at positions 524 to 776 of the family's 1533-position model. The record is from RNAcentral.
UACGUAGGGUGCAAGCGUUGUCCGGAAUUAUUGGGCGUAAAGAGCUUGUAGGCGGUUUGUCGCGUCUGCUGUGAAAUUUCGGGGCUCAACCCCGAACUUGCAGUGGGUACGGGCAGACUAGAGUGUGGUAGGGGAGACUGGAAUUCCUGGUGUAGCGGUGAAAUGCGUAGAUAUCAGGAGGAACACCUGUGGUGUAGACAGCUUACUGGACCACUUCUGACGCUGAGACACGAAAGCGUGGGUAGCAAGCAGG